RNAcentral lists this ribosomal RNA (503 nucleotides) under uncultured bacterium. RNAcentral's name for it is "bacterial SSU rRNA". It matches the Rfam family "Bacterial small subunit ribosomal RNA", at positions 30 to 527 of the family's 1533-position model. The record is from RNAcentral.
AUUGAACGCUGGCGGCAUGCUUUACACAUGCAAGUCGAACGGUAACAGGUCUUCGGAUGCUGACGAGUGGCGAACGGGUGAGUAAUGUAUCGGAACGUGCCCAGUAGUGGGGGAUAACUACUCGAAAGAGUGGCUAAUACCGCAUGAGAACUGAGGUUGAAAGCGGGGGACCUUCGGGCCUCGCGCUACUGGAGCGGCCGAUAUCAGAUUAGGUAGUUGGUGGGGUAAAGGCCUACCAAGCCGACGAUCUGUAGCUGGUCUGAGAGGACGACCAGCCACACUGGGACUGAGACACGGCCCAGACUCCUACGGGAGGCAGCAGUGGGGAAUUUUGGACAAUGGACGCAAGUCUGAUCCAGCAAUGCCGCGUGCAGGACGAAAGGCCUUCGGGUUGUAAACUGCUUUUGUACAGAACGAAAAGGCUCUGGUUAAUACCUGGGGCUCAUGACGGUACUGUAAGAAUAAGCACCGGCUAACUACGUGCCAGCAGCCGCGGUAAAACG